UACGUAGGGACCAAGCGUUGCUCGGAAUCACUGGGCGUAAAGGGCGCGUAGGCGGGGAGGUAAGUCGGGUGUGAAAUCCCUCGGCCCAACCGAGGAACUGCGCCCGAGACUGCUUCUCUUGAGUCCCGGAGAGGAAGAUGGAAUUCCCGGUGUAGCGGUGAAAUGUGUAGAGAUCGGGAGGAACACCGGUGGCGAAGGCGGUCUUCUGGACGGUGACUGACGCUGAGGCGCGAAAGCGUGGGGAGCAAACGGG
Molecule: ribosomal RNA, 253 nt
Filed under: uncultured bacterium
Lineage: Bacteria
Description: partial 16S ribosomal RNA
Rfam family: Bacterial small subunit ribosomal RNA
Source: RNAcentral